AAAUAUUGAUCUGUGGGGUGGUAUGUUCCUUGUUUCUAUGUGUGCUCUCAGAUUUAACUGUUCUCAGUCACCCUUCCUAUUUCCCAAGUCUUGCACUAUUUUGCAGGGCCAUGUCAUAUUCAGCAGAAUUCAGCCAGAGUCCAGCAUGAGCUGGCAGAUCCAUGAUCUCUAGCUCAGAUGGAAGUGCUUCUGUUCCCAGUGACAGCAUUGCUAGGAGGUUACAAAAGUCUCUGAAAAAUCUCAACUGUUAAAUUGCUUUCAAGGACAAAGCUGGUUGCCUUCUGAUGACAUUCUGAGAAGACUUGGUGAAAUUAGUUGGUGACUCCACUGCUGAGCUCCAGUGGAAAGGAACAAGUGUCAGCAUUGCAAAAGCACCUCCACAAGUACAGUUCCUGGAAGCAGGAGCAAUGACCCUGCAGACACCACAGACACCUGUUCCCUUUGGCUCUGACAGUGUCUCUGCAGUCAGGAUAUGCUUCUCUGUAGGAAUAGUGGCCUAGUGGCCUGGUGAAACUUGCUUGAAGUGUUGGUCCGUUGUGUGGAAAGAGACAUUAUUUCACAACACUGGCCCUCAUCUCUCUGGAUAUCAGGUAUGCUUUACUGUGAGUGGCAUGUGAAUCAAGAUUUAGAACCAGAACCAUAGAACAUCUCAAGCUGGAAGGGACCCAUAAGGAUCAUCAAGUCCCACUCCCUGCUCCUCGUAGGACUACCUGAAAGUAAACCAUUUGACUGAGUGUCAUCCAGAAGCUCCUUGAAGGUCUUGGUGCUGUGACCACUUCCCUGGGGAACCUGUUGCAGUGAUUAACUACGCUUUCAGUGAAGAACCUUUUCCUAAUGUCCAAUCUGAACUUCUCCUGAUGUAGCUUCAUUCCAUUUCCUCAUGUCUGGUUGCUGGUUGCCAGAGAGAGGAGAUCAGCAUCUCACACUCCACUGCCCACAACUGCCCUCAUUUGUGUGCUUGGGAUCAGUUUCUCCAAGUUCAUUUGUGCUAGUUGAAUUGUUCCUUCUGCAUUACUUACUGUAACUGUUUCACGGUUCUAAAGAAAUGAGCCUGUUAGAAACUCUUCCCCAUAAUAAUGUCUUUGCCUGCAGACACAUUCAAGAACAACAGGAAUCACAAAGUUGUCAUGUUGUGAGUUUGGUGAAAGCAGGCAGUUGAGGAACACUAUAAUCCAGCCUCUAUUCUUUGUCAGACGAGAGAAUCCAGUGCACAGGUAAAUGAUGUUACAAAUGCUCUGUCCAUACCUUUAGGAGACAUGCAGUACAGAAGAAUCCAUUGCACAGUCACUUACCUCUCUCUCUUGCAUGGAAACAGCAACAGAAAUCUUUUACUGCAUAGUAUGUGAUUAGUCUCCUGUGCCUACUAAGAGCUAAGCUCAUUUAGCAGCAAUGCUGACUCAAGUCAGUCACAAGACAAGACACAAAUCCAAGGAAAACCAGGCUUGGUUAAGCACAGUGUUCACAGAUCUGCUUGUUAUCAAAACUUUCCAGCAUGUCUGCAGGCUGUUCUUUACAGACACAUUUAAACAAUUAUAGAACAGUGGCUUUUUCUCCAAUACUUAUUUGCAGUCUGUUAAUUCUUAAAACCUGUUAUGAGCAAUGGAAAAAAUCAGCAGAGCUGAGGACAACUGUCACAGAGAAUCAUGGAAGUGUUUUUCACUAGAAAAGAGCAGUGACAUUCUCUGAACUCGUGUCUCUGAAUUGAAGAGAAAAAAAAUCAAUGCAAGUGCAAGCUUACCUUAAGUAGGUCUUACCCAAUAGCUGCUGGUCCAGAAUGAUGAGAUGUACGCAGAAGAAGGAGAUGGUGGGCAGAGUCAGGCUUCCUCAGGGAACAUGUUUUCCCAGUGCUCUGGUGUUCUGGGAAAGAUGGAUGCAGCACAGACAAGAUCCAGGGAAGAUGAAGUGCAUAGAAGGAGGUUUACAAGCUAAAUCUUGGUGUUCGUACAGAGGAAGGAGAUAGGUUUAUGCAGGUGUGCUGUAACGAACUGAGCAGUGUAGGAGAUUUUAAAUGUGAGGCAACAUAAUGAUUGGAUUCAUUCUGUUAACAAAAGCCUUUGAGUCUCAGACUUCUGCAGUGGGCUUUUAAAGGUGGCCUCUAAACCCGUUCUCUUUGUGCCCCAUUCAUACUCUUACACGGUUACAUUCUUUCCAGGAACAGUGGUGAGUCUGCAGGUACCUACCUCUCUCAUGCUCUGUAUUAGAGGUCCUUGCAUGUGUUAGCUGCACUUUAUUAUUGUUUUUGCAGCUUAUAGUUUAUAUGUUAAUUCCGCUGUUGCCUGGCUCUAGCAAAAAUGUGCUGCUUUUUGAUGAGAACUGAGUAAUCUAGGAGAAGUCUCCACUUCAGUUGUAACCUUUCUCACAGCUGAAGAAAUCUGGCUACUGGCUGCUGGGACACAGGCUACACAGGCUACAGGUACAAGUCUUGAAACUGAAAAAGCUCCAGGUUUCUUUCCAGCUAUCCCCAAGUGCAAAUCACUAUAAUCUGUCCUUGUUUUUCCCUUCAAGUAAACAAACAGCUUUCAAAACUGAUAUAAAUCUUUUUCUUCCUGUCUUUGAAAUCCUUAAGAUGUUAUCCAAAGAACAUACCAUUUUUUGACUUUCACUUUGUUACCUUUUUAUCUUGUAUUAAUUUUCUCCUACAUUAUAAGUUACAUUUAUUUCCCUUUGUCUCUCUCCCAGUGGAGUCAACAUCCUCUGGGCAUCUAUUCUUUCCCUGUUUGUAGGGGAGUGAUGGCCCUCUUCUGUGGCAGAAAAAAACCAGCCAACAACUCAUCAGUUAAACCCCUAGGAAAUGCAUUGUAUUUAAAAGGUCUUCCAGCCUGAGGUAGAGAUGAGGAUUUCAAAUGUGCUUGCUAUACCAUUUGCUUUUUUUGCCCUUUUCCUCUCAGAUUUCAAAUCAAGGCAGAAAAGGUGCAUGGGUACACUUAAAAUAUGGAACUUUCUGUCCAGCAGCAAGAAAACCAGAGAGAAAAAAAAGUGCCUGUUACAUUUAGUAUAAUUGCAAUCCUUAUCUUGCAAUCUAACAUCAACAAAACUUUGUUGAUUUCUCAUGAUAAAUGAUUGAUCUAAGAAAAAAACAUAAGGAGAGUUCAUAUUUUAAAAGUACAGUGAAGAGGCAGACUGUCCCAAACUGCUUUGGAACACCAUCCCAAAAGGAAUUGCCUCUUUUGCUGUUGGAAUUUUGCAAAGGAAUUGCUUCCUCUGCUGCCAUUCAUUGGAUCUGCCUCCAUCAUGGUUCCCUGUAGAUGCUUAGGAUGCUUGCCAUCACAUUUAAGAAUGUAUUUUUCAGACUCACAGGAUCUGCUGCUUAUCUAGACUUUUUAUUUCUCUGUGGUGCUCUUAACAGACUGUCUAUGACUCAAGGCUAGUGCCGAUGACUGUUAAUCUUUCUAGUGUGUUUGGCAGAAAGAGUUACAUUGCUUUUGAGAUAACCUUCACCAGUAGAUUUUUAAUCAAGGGAUCAGCAAAUGAAACGUGGAGCAAGUGACAGAACCACUCUGUUCACUCCCAGUUUCAGGCUGCCAAAGGCUGCCUCGCGCAGACAGCAACUUUCAUAUGCAUCAGUAGGGAAGCAUUACCACAAUUAGAAUUAAAGAACCAUCUAAAUGAAGAAGGGCCCUGACACCCCUUAGAGGAGUUCUUUUGUGUAAUUGUUAAGGUUUUUAAGAAAGCAUUCAAGACCGAGCAUUUCUGUCCAAACAGGCCUCUUUCUGAGAGGAGAUUGAAGGUCUGCUGUUAUUUUAAAGCUACAGGUUCUAAAAUGCCAUGACUGGCGCAGAGUCAGUCUUCAUCUCCUAUCUUCUUUAGAUUUCUUUUCAAAAAUUCAUACUUUUCCCUUCUCACUUUCCAUGGAAAAAAUCAGAAAACUUGAUUAAGAAGGAAAACAAUAAGGUAGACAAGAUCGCUGAAGUAAAUUAGGGUUUGCACCAAGGCAGUGCUUGUAAGUUUUGCUUGGAAGGUAGGUCUGGGGCAUAUACCUGUAGCAAAAGGAGAGCCCUUGGGGUUUUGACAUGGGACUUGGAUAUGUGUCUGUGGUUGUGGUUUGCACUUUUGGUUAUGCUACUCUGUACGACUGAGGCAUUGGCGCCUCUUUGAAUCAUUUAUGGACUCAUCCAUUUGAAAAAUAUUGUUUAAAAAAAUAACAUUGUCAGAAGUUUUUAUAAACAAAUAUGGUGGUCUGUUUAAAAGAUGUUAUUAUGUAAUCCAAUUUUGCUUUUAAAAAAGAAACAUAGAUGGUGUGGAUAAACUGCAUUUUUAGGCAUUGCUAUAUUCACUUCUUUAUUUGUUUUUAAACUGCUUCUUCUCCUUUGUACUUGGGAGAAAUCUGGUCAGAAUGCAAUGGCCUUUCUUCCCUUUCUACAACAAACUUCUGUUUCCUCUGCUGGUUAGCUGGGGUUAAUCAUCUUAGAGUGCAUCUCACUGGGAUGAAGAACUUUGUUUCUGGCUCUGAAUAUAGGCAGUCAUCUUGCUUCCACACCUGUCAAUCUGUUCUUGCCUUCAUUACCUGUUCUUUAUACAACAUCAUUUUCCUGAAGAAUGCAAAACACUUUCCCAUAAGAAAGCAUGAGGAACAGUGAAGUUAGGGGUUGUACUGGCUGCUGCAGAGUGAAUUGGUAAACAUAAAACUAGAGCUGUUUUGGCUUGUCAGUUUUGUAUCAUGAGUGCCGAUUUAGACAAUGCAAUCCCUUUCUUUUCUGAUAACCAUCUUUUAUAGCUUAGAAGGUGGUUCUGGCACACGUGCCUAUCUGUGAUCAAGACCUGGUUUUCAGUAGCACAAUACAGAUUGGUUUUACAUUACUUUGGCGAAUGAGAAGGUUACAUGAGGUGCUCGCUAAUAUAGCGGUAUUUCACAUGGAUUUUUAGCCACCUUUGUGCUUGUGAUUAUCGUGGUAAGUUUCAAGAGCAGGUGAAAAAUAACAAUAUUCCAUGCUGUAGGAAUUCAUACAUUAUUUUCUAACUUUGUCAAAAUGAUCUGUGUGAAUGUUACACUGAAGGGUAUUAUAUCUAUGAAAAAAUACUAAAAUACUGUGUACUCUAGUGGUGUGCCUGAUACUGGUUCUGAGCAAGAGGAGGAGAUCAUAGGCCUCUUCUAUAUCUGUUUGCUUAGUCAUAU
Falco peregrinus (peregrine falcon) is the source of this 5113-nucleotide long non-coding RNA. RefSeq lists it as uncharacterized. Lineage: Eukaryota; Metazoa; Chordata; Aves; Falconiformes; Falconidae. The record is from RefSeq and is a predicted model, not a curated record. The transcript has 3 exons.